UAGGGAAUAUUGCGCAAUGGGGGAAACCCUGACGCAGCGACGCCGCGUGAGUGAUGAAGGCCUUCGGGUCGUAAAGCUCUGUUGCAGGGGAAUAAGAAAGUGAAGGUACCCUGCGAGGAAGGAUCGGCUAACUUCGUGCCAGCAGCCGCGGUAAGACGAGGGAUCCUAGCGUUGCUCGGAAUCAUUGGGCGUAAAGCGGGUGUAGGGGGCUUUAUAAGUCAGAUGUGAAAGCCCAGGGCUUAACCCUGGAAGUGCAUUUGAUACUGUGAAGCUUGAGUGUUGGAGAGGUUGUCGGAAUACCUGGUGUAGUGGUGAAAUACGUAGAUAUCAGGUGGAACACCAGAGGCGAAGGCGGAUAACUGGCCAAACACUGACCCUGAGACCCGAAAGCGUGGGGAUC
Molecule: ribosomal RNA, 400 nt
Filed under: uncultured bacterium
Lineage: Bacteria
Description: bacterial SSU rRNA
Rfam family: Bacterial small subunit ribosomal RNA
Source: RNAcentral